AACGUAGGAUCCGAGCGUUAUCCGAAUUUACUGGGCGUAAAGCGCGUGUAGGCGGUUUGGUAAGUUGGAUGUGAAAGCUCCUGGCUCAACUGGGAGAGGCCGUUCAAAACUGCCAGACUAGAGGAUGGUAGAGGGAGGUGGAAUUCCGGGUGUAGUGGUGAAAUGCGUAGAUAUCCGGAGGAACACCAGUGGCGAAGGCGGCCUCCUGGGCCAUUCCUGACGCUCAGACGCGAAGGCUAGGGUAGCGAACGGG
This 253-nucleotide ribosomal RNA is filed under the name uncultured bacterium. RNAcentral describes it as "partial 16S ribosomal RNA". It matches the Rfam family "Bacterial small subunit ribosomal RNA", at positions 524 to 776 of the family's 1533-position model. The record is from RNAcentral.